GAAUGCUGACAUAAGUAACGAUAAUGCGGGUGAAAAACCCGCACGCCGGAAGACCAAGGGUUCCUGUCCAACGUUAAUCGGGGCAGGGUGAGUCGACCCCUAAGGCGAGGCCGAAAGGCGUAGUCGAUGGGAAACAGGUUAAUAUUCCUGUACUUGGUGUUACUGCGAAGGGGGGACGGAGAAGGCUAUGUUAGCCGGGCGACGGUUGUCCCGGUUUAAGCAUGUAGGCGGA
This 232-nucleotide ribosomal RNA is filed under the name Citrobacter freundii. Its description in RNAcentral is "partial 23S ribosomal RNA". It matches the Rfam family "Bacterial large subunit ribosomal RNA", at positions 1292 to 1528 of the family's 2925-position model. Lineage: Bacteria; Pseudomonadati; Pseudomonadota; Gammaproteobacteria; Enterobacterales; Enterobacteriaceae. The record is from RNAcentral.